AGAGUUUGAUCAUGGCUCAGAACGAACGCUGGCGGCAUNCCUAACACAUNCAAGUCGAACGUUUUUUAUAGAGUGGCGCACGGGUGAGUAACGCGUGGGAACCUGCCUUUUUCUGCGGGAUAACGGUUGGAAACGACCGCUAAUACCGCAUACGCCCUACGGGGGAAAGGUCCGCCGGAGAAAGAGGGGCCCGCGUCUGAUUAGCUUGUUGGUAGGGUAACGGCCUACCAAGGCGACGAUCAGUAGCUGGUCUGAGAGGAUGAUCAGCCACACUGGGACUGAGACACGGCCCAGACUCCUACGGGAGGCAGCAGUGGGGAAUAUUGGACAAUGGGGGCAACCCUGAUCCAGCAAUGCCGCGUGUGUGAUGAAGGCCUUAGGGUUGUAAAGCACUUUCACUGGUGAAGAU
Molecule: ribosomal RNA, 409 nt
Filed under: uncultured bacterium
Lineage: Bacteria
Description: bacterial SSU rRNA
Rfam family: Bacterial small subunit ribosomal RNA
Source: RNAcentral